ACGUAGGGGGCGAGCGUUAUCCGGAUUUACUGGGCGUAAAGAGCGCGUAGGCGGUUCCGUAAGUUGGUUGUGAAAGUUCGAGGCUCAACCUCGAAACUGCGUCCAAUACUGCGGGGCUGGAGUGCAAGAGAGGCAAGUGGAAUUUGCAGUGUAGUAGUGAAAUGCGUAGAUAUUGCAAGGAACACCAGUGGCGAAGGCGGCUUGCUAGCUUGUAACUGACGCUGAGGCGCGAAAGCUAGGGGAGCGAACGGGA
Molecule: ribosomal RNA, 253 nt
Filed under: uncultured prokaryote
Description: partial 16S ribosomal RNA
Rfam family: Bacterial small subunit ribosomal RNA
Source: RNAcentral